GAGGUUGUGGCUCAGUGGUAAGAGCACUUGCCUAGCACGUGUGAGGCACUGGGUUCAAUCCUCAGCACCACA
Molecule: transfer RNA, 72 nt
Filed under: Marmota monax (woodchuck)
Lineage: Eukaryota; Metazoa; Chordata; Mammalia; Rodentia; Sciuridae
Description: tRNA.Ala
Rfam family: tRNA
About the family: Transfer RNA (tRNA) molecules are approximately 80 nucleotides in length.
Source: RNAcentral